GAAAUGCGAUAAGUAAUGUGAAUUGCAGAAUUCAGUGAAUCAUCGAAUCUUUGAACGCACAUUGCGCCCGCCAGUAUUCUGGCGGGCAUGCCUGUCCGAGCGUCAUUUCAACCAUCAAGCCCCCGGGCUUGUGUUGGGGACCUGCGGCUGCCCGCAGGCCCUGAAAACCAGUGGCGGGCUCGCUGUCACACCGAGCGUGUAGCAAUCACCUCGCUCAGGGCGUGCUGCGGGUUCCGGCCGUUAAACAGCCUUACAAAACCCAAGGUUGACCUCGGAUCAGGUAGGAAGACCCGCUGAACUUAAGC
Molecule: unclassified non-coding RNA, 305 nt
Filed under: plant metagenome
Description: partial contains 5.8S ribosomal RNA, internal transcribed spacer 2, and large subunit ribosomal RNA
Rfam family: 5.8S ribosomal RNA (bases 1-105)
Source: RNAcentral